This 510-nucleotide ribosomal RNA is filed under the name uncultured bacterium. Its description in RNAcentral is "partial 16S ribosomal RNA". It matches the Rfam family "Bacterial small subunit ribosomal RNA", at positions 28 to 507 of the family's 1533-position model. The record is from RNAcentral.
GACGAACGCUGGCGGCGUGCUUAACACAUGCAAGUCGAACGAAGAGCGAUGGAAGCUUGCUUCUAUCAAUCUUAGUGGCGAACGGGUGAGUAACGCGUAAUCAACCUGCCCUUCAGAGGGGGACAACAGUUGGAAACGAAUGCUAAUACCGCAUACGAUCUAAUCUCGGCAUCGAGGAUAGAUGAAAGGUGGCCUCUACAUGUAAGCUAUCACUGAAGGAGGGGAUUGCGUCUGAUUAGCUAGUUGGAGGGGUAACGGCCCACCAAGGCGAUGAUCAGUAGCCGGUCUGAGAGGAUGAACGGCCACAUUGGGACUGAGACACGGCCCAGACUCCUACGGGAGGCAGCAGUGGGGAAUCUUCCGCAAUGGACGAAAGUCUGACGGAGCAACGCCGCGUGAGUGAUGACGGCCUUCGGGUUGUAAAGCUCUGUUAAUCGGGACGAAAGGCCUUCUUGCGAAUAGUGAGAAGGAUUGACGGUACCGGAAUAGAAAGCCACGGCUAACUACGUG